Molecule: long non-coding RNA, 636 nt
Filed under: Fukomys damarensis (Damara mole-rat)
Lineage: Eukaryota; Metazoa; Chordata; Mammalia; Rodentia; Bathyergidae
Description: lncRNA (ENSFDAG00000024040.1)
Source: RNAcentral
CGGGGCACUGAGGCUAAGACCCUUAGGGAUGCAGCCCAGUCACCCUGGCUCCUCCUCCCUGCCAAUUUUGGAGGCCAGGGAAGGGAAGCCAGCUGGGAUCGAGUUAUUUUAGAGCAGGGAUAAACAGGAAGGCCUGUUUUUGGCAGCACACUGAGUUCCUGCAAGGAGGCUGCCGUGGCUGGAGGUGGACCUGCAUCCUGCGGCCACUCCACAGCCCAUUUAGUGCAUGGCCCCAACUAAUGGUCACUUCAAAAUGCAUUACACAGCUCCUGCCAGCUCCUUGGCAUUGGGCAGGAUCGAUCCAGGGUCUCCAUGGAAGGAUGGUCAUUCUUGUCAAGCACACCUGAAGCAGGUCGGAAAAGUGAGCUUGCCUGACUGCAGGGGCCCUGUUCAUCCUAAGGACUCCAAACCAUCUGCCGGGACCCACAGCCCUGCCACUGCCCCCUGAUGUCUGAUGGGUAAGGGGACAGCAAUAGAGGAAAGGACAGAAUGAUCUGCACCUGCCUGAAGCAGGAGGAUGCCAAGAUGGAGCCCAACCAGGGCAACUAAACGACUUAGGGAGACCCUGUUUAAAAAUAGAAAAUAAAAAGGGCUGGGAGCAUAGCUCAGUGUAGAGGCCCUGCGUUUAAUCCCCUG